RNAcentral lists this ribosomal RNA (460 nucleotides) under uncultured bacterium. Its description in RNAcentral is "partial 16S ribosomal RNA". It matches the Rfam family "Bacterial small subunit ribosomal RNA", at positions 338 to 795 of the family's 1533-position model. The record is from RNAcentral.
CCUACGGUGGGCUGCAGUGAGGAAUAUUGGUCAAUGGGAGAGAUCCUGAACCAGCCAAGCCGCGUGAGGGAAGACGGCCCUAUGGGUUGUAAACCUCUUUUGUCGGAGAACAAAACCCGGGACGUGUCCCGGACUGCGUGUAUCCGAAGAAAAAGCAUCGGCUAACUCCGUGCCAGCAGCCGCGGUAAUACGGAGGAUGCGAGCGUUAUCCGGAUUUAUUGGGUUUAAAGGGUGCGUAGGCGGUCCGUUAAGUCAGCGGUAAAAUUGCGGGGCUCAACCCCCGAACUGCAUUUGAAACUGUUGGUCUUGAGUAUCGGAGAGGCAGGCGGAAUUCCUAGUGUAGCGGUGAAAUGCGUAGAUAUUAGGAGGAACACCAGUGGCGAAGGCGGCCUGCUGGACGACAACUGACGGUGAGGCGCGAAAGCGUGGGGAGCAAACAGGAUUAGAUACCCCUGUAGUC